Molecule: ribosomal RNA, 254 nt
Filed under: uncultured bacterium
Lineage: Bacteria
Description: partial 16S ribosomal RNA
Rfam family: Bacterial small subunit ribosomal RNA
Source: RNAcentral
UACGUAGGGUGCGAGCGUUGUCCGGAAUUAUUGGGCGUAAAGAGCUCGUAGGCGGUCUAUCGCGUCGGUCGUGAAAACUUGGGGCUUAACCCUGAGCUUGCGGUCGAUACGGGCAUGACUGGAGUUCGGCAGGGGAGACUGGAAUUCCUGGUGUAGCGGUGAAAUGCGCAGAUAUCAGGAGGAACACCGGUGGCGAAGGCGGGUCUCUGGGCCGAUACUGACGCUGAGGAGCGAAAGCGUGGGGAGCAAACAGG